Molecule: ribosomal RNA, 497 nt
Filed under: uncultured bacterium
Lineage: Bacteria
Description: partial 16S ribosomal RNA
Rfam family: Bacterial small subunit ribosomal RNA
Source: RNAcentral
GAUGAACGCUGGCGGCGUGCCUAAUACAUGCAAGUCGAGCGAACGGACGAGAAGCUUGCUUCUCUGAUGUUAGCGGCGGACGGGUGAGUAACACGUGGAUAACCUACCUAUAAGACUGGGAUAACUUCGGGAAACCGGAGCUAAUACCGGAUAAUAUUUUGAACCGCAUGGUUCAAAAGUGAAAGACGGUCUUGCUGUCACUUAUAGAUGGAUCCGCGCUGCAUUAGCUAGUUGGUAAGGUAACGGCUUACCAAGGCAACGAUGCAUAUCCGACCUGAGAGGGUGAUCGGCCACACUGGAACUGGGACACGGUCCAGGCUCCUACGGGAGGCAGCAGUAGGGAAUCUUCCGCAAUGGGCGAAAGCCUGACGGAGCAACGCCGCGUGAGUGAUGAAGGUCUUCGGAUCGUAAAACUCUGUUAUUAGGGAAGAACAUAUGUGUAAGUAACUGUGCACAUCUUGACGGUACCUAAUCAGAAAGCCACGGCUAACUACGUG